UGGGGAAUUUUGCACAAUGGAGGAAACUCUGAUGCAGCGACGCCGCGUGAGUGAUGAAGAUCUUCGGAUUGUAAAACUCUGUCCUUAGUGAAGAUAAUGACAGUAACUAAGAAGCAAGCCCUGGCUAAAUACGUGCCAGCAGCCGCGGUAAUACGUAUGGGGCAAGCGUUGUCCGGAAUUAUUGGGCGUAAAGGGUACGUAGGCGGUUUAAUAAGUCCUAAUUAAAAGGCUAUGGCUCAACCAUAGUAUGGUUAGGAAACUGUUGAACUGGAGUAGAUGAGGGGAAAGUGGAAUUCCAUGUGUAGCGGUGAAAUGCGUAGAUAUAUGGAGGAACACCAAUGGCGAAGGCAACUUUCUGGAAUCAAACUGACGCUGAGGUACGAAGGCGUGGGGAGCAAACAGG
Molecule: ribosomal RNA, 403 nt
Filed under: Fusobacteriota bacterium
Lineage: Bacteria; Fusobacteriati; Fusobacteriota
Description: Fusobacteria bacterium partial 16S ribosomal RNA
Rfam family: Bacterial small subunit ribosomal RNA
Source: RNAcentral